RNAcentral lists this ribosomal RNA (116 nucleotides) under Pteropus alecto (black flying fox). Lineage: Eukaryota; Metazoa; Chordata; Mammalia; Chiroptera; Pteropodidae. The record is from RNAcentral.
GUCUACAGCCAUGCCACUCUGAACAAGCCCAAUGUCUGAUCUCGGAAGCUAAGCAGGGUCAGGCCUGGUUAGUAUUUGGCUGGCAGACCACCUAGGAAGAGCAAGUGCUAUAGGCA